RNAcentral lists this ribosomal RNA (608 nucleotides) under uncultured bacterium. RNAcentral's name for it is "bacterial SSU rRNA". The stretch from base 1 to 535 matches the Rfam family "Bacterial small subunit ribosomal RNA", at positions 338 to 873 of the family's 1533-position model. The record is from RNAcentral.
CCUACGGGAGGCAGCAGUAGGGAAUAUUGGACAAUGGACGCAAGUCUGAUCCAGCCAUCCCGCGUGAAGGAUUAAGGCCCUAUGGGUUGUAAACUUCUUUUCUUUGGGAAUAAAAAGCGGUAUUCAUAUCGCCUUGAAGGUACCAGAGGAAUAAGCACCGGCUAACUCCGUGCCAGCAGCCGCGGUAAUACGGAGGGUGCAAGCGUUAUCCGGAUUCACUGGGUUUAAAGGGUGCGUAGGUGGCUUUGUAAGUCAGCGGUGAAAGCCUGGAGCUCAACUCCAGAAUUGCCAUUGAUACUGCAGAGCUUGAAUCAAGUUGAGGUGGAUGGAAUAUUACAUGUAGCGGUGAAAUGCUUAGAUAUGUAAUAGAACACCGAUUGCGAAGGCAGUUCACUAAGCUUGUAUUGACACUGAGGCACGAAAGCGUGGGGAUCAAACAGGAUUAGAUACCCUGGUAGUCCACGCCCUAAACGAUGCAAACUCGACAUUAGCGAUAUACAGUUAGUGUCCAAGCGAAAGCGUUAAGUUUGCCACCNGGAGACGACGCGAGUAGAACGACGAAGAGUAGUAGCGNGAGAGAGACGACGACGACGACGAGGGAGGAGGAG